GCCGCAAUGGUGGAAUUGGUAGACACGAUGGACUUAAAAUCCAUUUGUCCGAAUGGACAAAUGCAGGUUCGACUCCUGUUUGCGGCACAA
RNAcentral lists this transfer RNA (90 nucleotides) under Bacteroides acidifaciens. RNAcentral's name for it is "tRNA-Leu". It matches the Rfam family "tRNA". From Rfam's summary of the family: Transfer RNA (tRNA) molecules are approximately 80 nucleotides in length. Their secondary structure includes four short double-helical elements and three loops (D, anti-codon, and T loops). Further hydrogen bonds mediate the characteristic L-shaped molecular structure. tRNAs have two regions of fundamental functional importance: the anti-codon, which is responsible for specific mRNA codon recognition, and the 3' end, to which the tRNAs corresponding amino acid is attached (by aminoacyl-tRNA synthetases). tRNAs cope with the degeneracy of the genetic code in two manners: having more than one tRNA (with a specific anti-codon) for a particular amino acid; and 'wobble' base-pairing, i.e. permitting non-standard base-pairing at the 3rd anti-codon position. The record is from RNAcentral. Lineage: Bacteria; Pseudomonadati; Bacteroidota; Bacteroidia; Bacteroidales; Bacteroidaceae.